CUGCGCUGCUAUGUGUGACCAUGACUACCUCAGAUCUGUUUAGGCUUAUUAAUAAACACUGGAUUUGGAGAAAGAGAACCAGCAGCAGGCUAUUUUAACCUGACGGCUGUAAAGAAUGAUCAGGCUCCUGCUGGAUUCUGUCUGGUAACCAAACCUGGAACUGAUUGCUGACACCGACCUGGAUUCCCCUUAGGAGCCUUUUUGUAUCUCUGAUCUCCUGGUCCUGACUCCUGAGCAUGUUCUCAACACCGGCUUUUGCUUCGUCCUCUGGAUUAUGCUGCUGUCCUUCCUCUGUUCGGUUCUGAUCUCCUGCCUGUCCUCCAACCUCCAGGACUCAAGCGUCUCGGACUCUCUGUGAAUGGCUAGCUGCGUCUCGUUGGCAGCCAACCAGCUGGAACUAACCUUGUCCUUUGGGCACAGACUGAAAUAUAAGACCAGAGGUUCCUGCCUUAGACACCAACACUGUUCUCUACAGUUCUGUCUUAAAUAAACAUCUUGUGAAACCCAACAGCCCCUUCACCUUCAAAGCUGGGUCCUUUUGUUCUGAGCCUUACAUUUAUAUAAAUCAGUGAAUAUGCCAAUAGAAUUCAUUGAUAUACAUUAAGUGUUUUGUGAGAAACAAAUUAUGCAUAAGUACACUAAAGUAAAUCUUCAGGUGGUUUGAAUGUUUUUUAAGGUUACUGAAACAGAUUGCCAAACUGCUAUUUGUGAUGACUGUGCAGGACCGGAGGGAGAGUUUACAAGCAGGUUUAGAAAAAACAAAUAUUGGUAUUGGCUUGUUGAACUGUAAAAUAUUAGCUUAUCAGAUAUCAGUCAAAAUUGUAACGGUUUUGGUUCUGUUUAAGUUUUCCAUUUAACUUUGGUCCAUGUUUCUCUUUGUUUUCUAGUUUUAUUGGUUUAAU
Molecule: long non-coding RNA, 902 nt
Organism: Cyprinodon tularosa
Lineage: Eukaryota; Metazoa; Chordata; Actinopteri; Cyprinodontiformes; Cyprinodontidae
Exons: 3
Source: RefSeq, a predicted model, not a curated record